This 91-nucleotide transfer RNA is filed under the name Bacillota bacterium LX-D. RNAcentral's name for it is "tRNA-Ser". It matches the Rfam family "tRNA". Rfam says of the family: Transfer RNA (tRNA) molecules are approximately 80 nucleotides in length. Lineage: Bacteria; Bacillati; Bacillota. The record is from RNAcentral.
GGAGAGGUGUCCGAGCGGUUUAAGGAGCUGGUCUUGAAAACCAGUGAUACCUUGACGGGUACCGUGGGUUCGAAUCCCACCCUCUCCGCCA